ACUUGAAACUCUAUACUUAACUUGAAACUUGAGCCUUAAGACGAAGCUAAAACGUUCAAUAACGACUCUUGGAAAGCUCUAAAUACUUGCUUGGACUUACUUCUUAACUUUGCUUGACUUGACUCUAACUUCACUUGACUUUGAUCCUAACUCACCUUGAAUUGGAUUAUGGAUUCAAGGGUAAUGAUCUCAUGUUUACGACACUUCUCUUUUUCUUACUCACUU
Molecule: long non-coding RNA, 225 nt
Filed under: Solanum tuberosum (potato)
Lineage: Eukaryota; Viridiplantae; Streptophyta; Magnoliopsida; Solanales; Solanaceae
Description: long non-coding RNA (STUB_LNC005721)
Source: RNAcentral